RNAcentral lists this small RNA (610 nucleotides) under Pongo abelii (Sumatran orangutan). RNAcentral describes it as "processed transcript". Lineage: Eukaryota; Metazoa; Chordata; Mammalia; Primates; Hominidae. The record is from RNAcentral.
GGUGAUCUGGAAGGACAAUCUAUGAAUUGGACAAGUGAAGAAGGAAGAGGAGACAUUAUAAGAAGUGGGACCAACAUAGACUGAGCCUGGCAGUACUAUUGCAGAUAUCAUCCGAACAUGUUUGGGACCGAAGUCCAUGAUGAAGAUGCUUUUGGACCCAAUGGGAGGCAUUGUGAUGACCAACGAUGGCAAUGCCAUUCUUCGAGAGAUUCAAGUCCAGCAUCCAGCAGCCAAGUCCAUGAUCGAAAUUAGCCGGACCCAGGAUGAAGAGGUUGGAGAUGGGACCACAUCAGUAAUUAUUCUUGCAGGGGAAAUGCUGUCUGUAGCUGAGCACUUCCUGGAGCAGCAGAUGCACCCAACAGUGGUGAUCAGUGCUUACCGCAAGGCAUUGGAUGAUAUGAUCAGCACCCUAAAGAAAAUAAGUAUCCCAGUCGACAUCAAUGACAGUGAUAUGAUGCUGAACAUCAUCAACAGCUCCAUUACUACCAAAGCCAUCAGUCGGUGGUCAUCUUUGGCUUGCAACAUUGCACUGGAUGCUGUCAAGAUGGUACAGUUUGAAGAGAAUGGUCGGAAAGAGAUUGACAUAAAAAAAUAUGCAAGAGUGGAAAAG